This 250-nucleotide ribosomal RNA is filed under the name uncultured bacterium. RNAcentral's name for it is "partial 16S ribosomal RNA". It matches the Rfam family "Bacterial small subunit ribosomal RNA", at positions 1251 to 1500 of the family's 1533-position model. The record is from RNAcentral.
AAAGCCGCGAGGUAGAGCAAAUCUCAAAAAAACAAUCUCAGUUCAGACUGCAGGCUGCAACUCGCCUGCACGAAGUCGGAAUUGCUAGUAAUCGUAGGUCAGCAUACUACGGUGAAUACGUUCCCGGGCCUUGUACACACCGCCUGUCAAACCAUGAGAGUUGGCAACACCCGAAGUCGGUAGUCUAACCGCAAGGAGGACGCCGCCGAAGGUGGGGUUGAUGAUUAGGGUUAAGUCGUAACAAGGUACC